RNAcentral lists this non-coding RNA (43 nucleotides) under Trypanosoma brucei brucei. The record is from RNAcentral. Lineage: Eukaryota; Euglenozoa; Kinetoplastea; Trypanosomatida; Trypanosomatidae.
AAUUAAACAAACGUAUAGAGCAAGUAAGUAGCAGUGAAAUAUA